CAUUUUUAUUUUUCAAUAUCGCGAUAAAUAUCGCACCGUGGACUUUUUUAUCGACUAUUACAUCCCUAGUAAUUGAUGUUGGUCCUGUAUUUGUCUUUGUGUGUUGCUCUGUUAUUGUAUGUUUAAUUGUCUUCAACUGUUUUGGGCCCCCAACCUCUCACCCUCCCCUCCCUUUCUUCCCCUUUGUCCUGCCCCCUUUUGAUUAAGAUGUUUUAGGUGACCUCCUCAAACCCACAGUGGCGUCCUCACCCAACCAGGGCCUGACCCUGAACGGCCACAAACUUGUUUCCAACGACCUGGACUCGUCACUUGCAAAUCUUGUUGGCAAUCUGGGAAUUAGCAAUGGCACAGCAAACAAUGAUCUUCACUGGAAUCAGCCUGGUGAGAAGAAGCUGACUGGUGGAAACAACUGGCAACCCAAAUCCGCUCCUUCUACCACCUGGAACCCUGCAGCC
Molecule: long non-coding RNA, 455 nt
Organism: Notothenia coriiceps (black rockcod)
Lineage: Eukaryota; Metazoa; Chordata; Actinopteri; Perciformes; Nototheniidae
Exons: 3
Source: RefSeq, a predicted model, not a curated record